This is a long non-coding RNA of Agrilus planipennis (emerald ash borer), 2951 nucleotides long. RefSeq lists it as uncharacterized. The transcript has 10 exons. The record is from RefSeq and is a predicted model, not a curated record. Lineage: Eukaryota; Metazoa; Arthropoda; Insecta; Coleoptera; Buprestidae.
UUGUUCAUUGAAGAGAAAUUGAAAUUGUUUUGUUUUUUGUAUGAAAUGUCCAACAUACACGUAUGAUGUGUUUGUGUAUCAUAAUAACAAUAUGUGUCGUAUGUGUAAUGCUAAAUUGAAUAAGGAAAAUUAUUUCAAUAAUGACUAAUGACCUAACGAAUAUUUGACUGUGGUGGGUAUUAAUAGUAUAAUCUACAUUCUACAAAAUAGUCAUCGUUAUCGGAAACAGUUUAUUUGUUUAUGAAGUACCUAUGUGUACAUUUCGUUUCGCUUGCUCGUGACCUUGCUUCUGUUGUAGUGCGAAUUUCGACUUGGAUUUGAAUGAAAGAAAAUUAUACCUACAUAACUGAUUGCUAGGCAGUGAUUUAUUUUUCUCUUACUCAAUUAUACACUGGAACUAAAUGACAUGUGCUUGCAAAAUUAACAUUCACAGUAACCGAUGAUCACUAUCCCCCUACGAGCCCCUCCUUCUUCUUGCCGCUUUCACAGUCACCGAUCAUCGCCACCCCCCUACGAGCCUCUCUUUAAGUUAUCUUGCCACAGAUUCCGAUAAGUCUUACUGAAAAGCUUGACUAACGUUUAAUUUUUAUGCAUCAUACGUUUUCUAGACAGUAUUCGGUACGAUACCUUUCUAAGUAUAAUUUUCAUUAUUUUUACAGAUUUUACAGUCACUGAUGAUCUCCGCACCCCUACGAGCCUCUCCUUAAGUUGUCCUGCCACAAUUUCAGAUUUUACAGCCACUGGUGACCGCCGCCCCCCUACGAGCCUCUCUUUAAGUUGUCCUGCCACAAUUUCAGGAUGUUAAAAGAACAUCCAUUUGGGAUUUUAAGGAUAUCUUAUACAGAUCCGUUUCAUGUUCGGCGGACGUCUUCAGGAUGUCGUAUGGAUAGACGAAUGUCACAGUUUCAUACAUUCAUAAAAUAUACUCAACGGACAUUUGAAAAACAUACGGACGGGAUAUUUACAGGACAUCUUAGGAAUGACACAUAUAUAUCGUAUUGUUUGCUAUCAUACUUUUUGAUGGAAUAGGCUAUCUUUAUACAAACGCAUAUGAAUCUCUAUCUAAGUUUAUUGCAUACAAAUAAAAAAAUACUUAUUUGAACAUGUUAUGGAUAAAUACAAGGUAAUAAUAUUACAAUAAGGAAUUUCGUUUACUUUUGGUGAUUAACUGUUCUUUUGCUCUUCGCAAUUUUUUAUCCCUUCUUCUAGAUUCUUGCUUGAACAACUGGAUGUUGCUUGAUUUAAUCUAGCAGCAUCUGUGGAAUAGAAAAAAAACAUAUUAAUAGUUUUUAAAAAAAUAUUAGUAUGUAACUUAUGAUUUAUCAUACCUAUCUAAAUUUACUUAAUGAAAACUUAUAAUCCUAUUUUAUUAAUUAGUAACUUACUUAUUAUCAGUCUAGAUAGAUGGAGAUGACAAAAUACUUCCUUCUUUUUGGCACCUUUGGCCAGUUAUAUCUUACGGAAAUAUCGUCCGACAAAAUUUUUGUAAACACCCUCUUUACAAAUUCGUAGGGAGUAUGUCCGCCAAUUCUUACAACUUCUUGUGCCUAAAAAAUAUUAACUGCAAGUAUUUCUACACAAAAAUAAUUAAGCAAAUUUACCGAUAAUAAUAAUAAAUUUUCGUGAUUAAGAAGUAUAUCUAUUACAGAUUCAUUUUUAGAGAUAUUAUUUUCUGGAAAACGAGAUGUAACAGACAACUGGAAUUGUACAUUUAAUUUAUUCGUAGUGCAGUUAUUAUUAUCUGCGUAUUUCUGACUAAAGGUAUAUUUUUUUUUUUGGUAUUAUAUAGAUGCUAUUAAUAAAGAAAUUUCAGAUGUUUUUUUAGCGACCCUGUAUCGCUGUCUCGGCAAUUUUAAUUUAACCAUCACGAAAAAAUAUUGUUAAGUACGUUAUUAUUAUUAUUAUCACUUACCUGAUUUUAUAUCGAUUUACUGAAUAAAAAUUCAUUUCACUUACGAACAAGAUAUACACAAGACGUUUACGUUUAAUAUGAUUAAUACAAACACUUUAGGAAAUCCCACAAUCAGGCGGUUACCAGACAACGCUUUUCACUAAUCUAAAUUAUUAUUAAUCGACAGUAAUGGACUUUGGACUAUUACAACCCAUGUUAUAACGUUACCGCUGUUACGAUUUGCAAGGGCAAAAGCAAAUUCUUUGGCGCCGUUUUAUAAAACAAUUGUAAUGUAAUGACGUCAGUGAUACUAACGCCACAUUAUAAAACAUACAUACAAUACAUAGGUACAUAUGUGCCCACAUUUUAAUAUGUAUUUUAUAAUAAUAUCUGAUAAUAUCUGCUGAUAUCCACUGGAUAUCCGAUGUAUGUCCUAUAAAGACACCAGUACAUGUGUCCAAUGAGGAUAUACAUAGUAUGUCCUCAACUAAUCCCUUAAGGAAAUUGGACAUGAUGGACGCAAUAGGGACCUUAUCGUACAUCCAUAGGAUAUUGCGUGCUGUAUGGGAACGUUCAAUUUUAUGCAUACCUCUUCUUGAACGUAUUCCGUGCGGUACCUUUCAAAGUAUAAUUUUCAUUAUUUUUACAAAUUUUACAGCCAGUGAUGAUCUCCGCCCCCUACGAGCCUCUCCUUAAGUUGUCCUGCCACAAUUUUAGAAUUUACAGCCACUGGUGAACGCCGCCCCCCUACGAGCCUCUCUUUAAGUUGUCCUGCCACAAUUUCAGAUUUUACAGCCACUGGUGAACGCCGCCCCUCUACGAGCCUUUCUUUAAGUUGUUCUGCCACAAUUUCAGAUUUUACAGCCACUGGUGAUCGCCGCCCCCCUACGAGCCUCUCUUUAAGUUGUCCUGCCACAAUUUCAGAUUUUACAGCCACUGAUGAUCGCCGCCCCCGUACGAACUACUGUUUGGCUAGCUUUGCCACUCAUUCCGAUUUCACAGUCAUUGAUCAUCGCCGCCCCCCUACGAGCUUAUGUUUAAGUUGCCCAGCCAUAAGUUC